CCCACUUUGCAAGUUUCUACUGCAGGUUUCAGCUGCUCUUCCCGUGAAGAAAGUCCAGUUUCCGAUGGGAGAUGCAGCCUGCUGUGCCUUUGUUUAGGCAACUUUUUCCUUACCAGUGGUCUUCAAUUCUCAGGAAGCUACCAAGCGGCCUUUUCUCUGCUACUCACCAGUGCACCAAUUCCUAGGUUCAGAAUGCUUGCCUUUUGGAUCCCUGAGCUGACCUGUUGUCUGGGUGUGCUUCUGGCUGGGGCCUAUGUACACUUGGGAUGAUAUCUGGGUGUGCCAUAGUGCAAGACAUGAUUGAUAAAUCUAGAGCAGAC
RNAcentral lists this long non-coding RNA (320 nucleotides) under Heterocephalus glaber (naked mole-rat). RNAcentral's name for it is "lncRNA (ENSHGLG00100040453.1)". The record is from RNAcentral. Lineage: Eukaryota; Metazoa; Chordata; Mammalia; Rodentia; Bathyergidae.